AGAAAGCCGCGCACCUCCUCCCGCCAGGCGCUUUCUCGGACGCCUUGCCCAGCGGGCCGCCCGACCCCCUGCACCAUGGACCCCGCUCGCCCCCUGGGGCUGUCGAUUCUGCUGCUUUUCCUGACGGAGGCUGCACUGGGCGAUGCUGCUCAGGAGCCAACAGGAAAUAACGCGGAGAUCUGUCUCCUGCCCCUAGACUACGGACCCUGCCGGGCCCUACUUCUCCGUUACUACUACGACAGGUACACGCAGAGCUGCCGCCAGUUCCUGUACGGGGGCUGCGAGGGCAACGCCAACAAUUUCUACACCUGGGAGGCCUGCGACGAGGCUUGCUGGCGGAUAGAAAGUAAGUGCCCUGCGCGCACCCAGGACUCUCGCGCUCCUUGCGCCGGCGGCUGGUAGCAACUUCGCCAGUUUCCCACGUCUCGCUUUCUACAGGAAGUUUUAGCCUGGGUUUUCUCAAGUGUUAAGCAAACCUCAUGGUUUUCAGUUUCUUAAAAUUAAUCACAAAUUUACAACCACUAACACAUUUCCUGUCUCCCAACUGACAUUGAUCAUAAUUCAG
RNAcentral lists this small RNA (565 nucleotides) under Pan troglodytes (chimpanzee). Its description in RNAcentral is "retained intron". The record is from RNAcentral. Lineage: Eukaryota; Metazoa; Chordata; Mammalia; Primates; Hominidae.